Small nuclear RNA from Myotis lucifugus (little brown bat), 105 nucleotides. NCBI's taxonomy places the organism in Eukaryota, Metazoa, Chordata, Mammalia, Chiroptera, Vespertilionidae. The record is from Ensembl.
GUGCUCACUCCAGCAGUACGUACCUAUAAAUGAACCAUACAGAAAAGAUUAGCAUGUCCCCUGCUCAAGGAUGACACCCAAACUCGUGGGGCGUUCCAUAUUUUU